CUCGUCCACGGCCUGCUCGUCCACCCGCCUACGAUCCUGACUUCGAGGCGGCCUUCGAAGCCUGCAAUGAAGCGUAUCAGCAGGCCGCUGCCCAGUGGAAUAGGCAGAAUACGGCCUAUAUGACGUAUAUAUCAGAAAUGAUGAUCUCUAUGUCUACUGGUACACCGCCACCGGCUCGAGUUACCGUGGCGGGGGACAUGCCUAUCAUGCCAUCGAGGGCAGCUUUCGCUGCGACUUACUACGGAUCCACACCGGAGGUAAGUUCUUUGCCAAACCGGUAGUUACCACUUUCCUUUGCCUCGCAAGUUGCUAACAUGUAGGGAACACGUAGGG
Non-coding RNA from Lolium perenne, 333 nucleotides. Lineage: Eukaryota; Viridiplantae; Streptophyta; Magnoliopsida; Poales; Poaceae. The record is from RefSeq and is a predicted model, not a curated record.